GAAGGUAUAGCUUAGUGGUAGAGCUCGUGCCUCGUGUGCCCAAGGUUCUGGGUUCAAUCCCCAGGACCUCCA
RNAcentral lists this transfer RNA (72 nucleotides) under Camelus bactrianus (Bactrian camel). It matches the Rfam family "tRNA". From Rfam's summary of the family: Transfer RNA (tRNA) molecules are approximately 80 nucleotides in length. Their secondary structure includes four short double-helical elements and three loops (D, anti-codon, and T loops). Further hydrogen bonds mediate the characteristic L-shaped molecular structure. tRNAs have two regions of fundamental functional importance: the anti-codon, which is responsible for specific mRNA codon recognition, and the 3' end, to which the tRNAs corresponding amino acid is attached (by aminoacyl-tRNA synthetases). tRNAs cope with the degeneracy of the genetic code in two manners: having more than one tRNA (with a specific anti-codon) for a particular amino acid; and 'wobble' base-pairing, i.e. permitting non-standard base-pairing at the 3rd anti-codon position. Lineage: Eukaryota; Metazoa; Chordata; Mammalia; Artiodactyla; Camelidae. RNAcentral also lists the same sequence under 2 other names. The record is from Rfam by way of RNAcentral.